Molecule: ribosomal RNA, 464 nt
Filed under: uncultured Desulfobulbus sp.
Lineage: Bacteria; Pseudomonadati; Thermodesulfobacteriota; Desulfobulbia; Desulfobulbales; Desulfobulbaceae
Description: bacterial SSU rRNA
Rfam family: Bacterial small subunit ribosomal RNA
Source: RNAcentral
CACAAGCGGUGGAGUAUGUGGUUAAUUCGAUGCAACGCGAAGAACCUUACCUGGUCUUGACAUCCCGGAGACCCUUAGGAAACUAGGGGGUGCUUCCAUCUGGAAGAAUCUGGAGACAGGUGCUGCAUGGCUGUCGUCAGCUCGUGUCGUGAGAUGUUGGGUUAAGUCCCGCAACGAGCGCAACCCUUGCCUUUAGUUGCCAGCAGUUCGGCUGGGCACUCUAAAGGGACUGCCGGUGUUAAACCGGAGGAAGGUGGGGAUGACGUCAAGUCCUCAUGGCCUUUAUGACCAGGGCUACACACGUACUACAAUGGCCGAUACAAAGGGCAGCGACACUGCGAGGUGAAGCCAAUCCCGUAAAAUCGGUCUCAGUCCGGAUUGGGGUCUGCAACUCGACUCCAUGAAGUUGGAAUCGCUAGUAAUCGUGGAUCAGCCAAGCUGCGGUGAAUACGUUCCCGGGCCUU